GUUUUUAGCGAUUCGAUUCACAACCAAUUAAAGAAUUUCCUUGAGUUGCAUGAACUGUGGCGCGAUUGCGAUUUAGACACGAUAAUUACAAAAUACAGUAAAUAUGAUAUCGCAUUCAUAGUUACCGAUCGCGCGAUUUGAUAUGCGAAAGCAAAUCGCCGCGAUUUUUUUAAAACACAAAAGAUUUUGAAAUAGUGCUUCAUUAAAUACCGAUUUUGGUGAAUAUAGCUCAAAAUUUUUGAUUUUGUGCUACUUUUAAAUUUAGCCUAAUUUUUUUAUUAAUUGAAAUGAAUUCAAAGACAACCUUUUUUGAUGAUAUAAAACCAAAGGAUCAAGUUAAAAAUAUGAUUUAAAUUUAAUUUUUUUUUAGAAAAUAGAUAAAAUAGCUUUUAUUCUUUCUCUUAAAGAGUACAAAUGUUUAUAUAAUAAGCAUAAUCAUUUGUAUAAAAGUAUUAUAUACAAGAAUAAAAUCUGGGAAUUAUUAGCCAAGCAGUUCAUCUCUCUGGAAAAAUCUGAGAGAUUGUUUUAUAAAAGAGAGGCAAAAGCUAAAAAGACUGAAAAGUGGGUCAGAGGUCACAUCUCAUGGCCAUUCUAUCAGCAUAUGCUAUUCCUGGUAGAAACCUUAACACCUAGAUCACAGAAAUCCUCUUUAGAUAUAGAGGAAUGUACUACUAAAGAUGCAAAUGAUAUAUUUAAAAAUAACAGGGGGUAUACAUGAAUGUGAUCUCAUUGAAUUCAGAUUCUGCAGGAUUAAAUCUUAGUAAUGAUUCUGAAUCUAUGUCCUGUGUUGGGUCACCUAGUUUUUAUUAUAAAUGUCCUAAGAGAAAGAACAAUGAUAUGGAUUAGGAAAUUAAUGAAAAUAGAAGCAGAUAAAGUAUUAAUAACGUUGGAAAUGCUUAAAAAUAAAUCAACAGAACAUGCAAUAUGUUUAAUGUUAUAAGAAAAAUUAGAUGAUUGUACCAAAGAG
This is a long non-coding RNA of Gordionus sp. m RMFG-2023, 967 nucleotides long. RefSeq lists it as uncharacterized. The record is from RefSeq and is a predicted model, not a curated record. NCBI's taxonomy places the organism in Eukaryota, Metazoa, Nematomorpha, Gordioida, Chordodea, Parachordodidae. The transcript is spliced from 6 exons.